Monopterus albus (swamp eel) is the source of this 1452-nucleotide long non-coding RNA. RefSeq lists it as uncharacterized. The transcript has 9 exons. The record is from RefSeq and is a predicted model, not a curated record. NCBI's taxonomy places the organism in Eukaryota, Metazoa, Chordata, Actinopteri, Synbranchiformes, Synbranchidae.
UGCACAAUGUCCUCAUGUUCAGUUUAGGACUACACAAGUUUUCUUAAUAAAGACAUAGCCUUGCAAUCAUCUAAUCACCUGUGAUGUGUUUCAUGUAGGUUUCUGAAAACAUUACUAUUAGAAGGGAAUCCUGUUUCAGAACUUCCACCAAAGUUGGGAAAUGUGAUUACCCUCAGAGGCCUGAACCUAAGGAGCUGCCCCAUCAUUUUCCCUCCACAAGACACUGUGCACAAGGGGCUCCAGAGCAUCCUCCAGUACUUGAGAAAUGCUAUGGCUAAACGACCAGCGUAAGGAAGACCAUUCCAGUAGAGCUGCCAGUGGUGGAGAAGCUCCAGCUGUCAGAGCUGACAGGGUCCAGUAUGGAGGAGCAGGAUGUGUCAGGCGAUGAGGAUGAGCUGCAGAGGUUCAAGGAACUGAAGCACAAGAUGAUUCUACUGGACAAAACUGAGCUGGACUCAACAGCCCAGGGCAAGUCACAUCUUCUUCCUCUUACCAAAAGAAGAAAUUCAACUAUCAAGGCUGGCAUAAUUCCAGAGCUUCCUGGGUUUGACCCUCAGCAUUGGAAGAGGCCAGAAGAGAGAAGACAAGCUGCAUUGGAAGAGGCCAGAAGAGAAACAGACAGUUCUGGAGCAGAGGAGAAAGUAAGAAACCAAGCGGCUCUUCAGAAGUGCCGUACACAAGUCAAGUUCAAGCACAAGCUGAAGAAUAAAAGACAAAGAAAGCAAGAGGAAGCAGAAACAGAUUUGAAACCUGGUGUGCAGAACAACAGUCACACCGUUCAUACAUCCACCAUGUCCAACAGAGUGUGAGGAGAACAGUUUUUAAGGCAAGUAUGCAUCCAUCUCCAUCUUCGUGAAGAGUAUUGAUUUCUUAAGGGAACUCAAUCUGCCCAUGAGCUGGAGUGGCAGAUCUGUGCCUCUGCUGAGAAGAUGCAGGAGAGACACAAGAAUCCCAUUGGCACAGCCAGCGAGCAGAUGGCAGUGGCAGAUCAAGAUGUGGAGGAGAUGAGAAAGUUACAGGGGUGGCUUCUGGAGAGGAGGAGAAAUUGGGGAAAAGAUCAUGAAAAGUCUUUUAUCAUCUUCACUGGAGACACCUGGUCAAGUUACCUUGACAAAUGACAGUGAUCAUACAUCCCUUCUGUGGUAUUCACAUUUAAAUGUCAUCGUAAAGGGUAACCCCUUCAUGAAUGACCAUUGUAAUAUAUAUGUCUUAAAAAUAAAGAUCACAAGUUUGUUGACUGGGUGUGUAUUCUGAAAUGUUCAUUCUGUCUUUCUUCCUCUUUGGACCUCUGCAAGAUGUUCAAGGAGACAAACUAGCCAUGCUUUACAUUUACCUUGCCUUAAUAAUACCUCAAACAUGUACAAAAUAAAUUACUGUAAAAUGAAGCUGUUUGGCUGUUAAAUGUUAAACUGGGCUCAGCAAACAUAUUCUCUGUCAAUUAGGAAAAAAACU